CCUCUCGUAGCUCAGAGAUCGGAGCAUUGGUGCGUAAAUCUAAAAGUCCUGGGUUUGAUCCCCGGCGAGGGUG
Molecule: transfer RNA, 73 nt
Filed under: Agrilus planipennis (emerald ash borer)
Lineage: Eukaryota; Metazoa; Arthropoda; Insecta; Coleoptera; Buprestidae
Rfam family: tRNA
About the family: Transfer RNA (tRNA) molecules are approximately 80 nucleotides in length. Their secondary structure includes four short double-helical elements and three loops (D, anti-codon, and T loops). Further hydrogen bonds mediate the characteristic L-shaped molecular structure. tRNAs have two regions of fundamental functional importance: the anti-codon, which is responsible for specific mRNA codon recognition, and the 3' end, to which the tRNAs corresponding amino acid is attached (by aminoacyl-tRNA synthetases). tRNAs cope with the degeneracy of the genetic code in two manners: having more than one tRNA (with a specific anti-codon) for a particular amino acid; and 'wobble' base-pairing, i.e. permitting non-standard base-pairing at the 3rd anti-codon position.
Source: Rfam by way of RNAcentral